This 320-nucleotide ribosomal RNA is filed under the name uncultured eukaryote. Its description in RNAcentral is "partial 18S ribosomal RNA". It matches the Rfam family "Eukaryotic small subunit ribosomal RNA", at positions 1470 to 1796 of the family's 1831-position model. The record is from RNAcentral.
CCCUUAGAUGUUCUGGGCUGCACGCGCGCUACACUGACACACCCAGCGAGUCUCCUGCCCUGACAGGGUUGGGUAAUCAUUGGAGUGUGUGUCGUGAUGGGGAUGGAGUAUUGCAAUUAUUGCUCUCGAACGAGGAAUUCCUAGUAAGCACAAGUCAGCAGCUUGUGCUGAUUACGUCCCUGCCCUUUGUACACACCGCCCGUCGCUCCUACCGAGGGGGUGAUCCGGUGAAUGAUUCGGACUUUGGCGUUUCUAGCUGCUAGCAGCGCUGAAGAAAGUUUUGUGAACCUUAUCACUUGGAGGAAGGAGAAGUCGUAACA